Molecule: ribosomal RNA, 1372 nt
Filed under: uncultured bacterium
Lineage: Bacteria
Description: bacterial SSU rRNA
Rfam family: Bacterial small subunit ribosomal RNA
Source: RNAcentral
GAUGAACGCUGGCGGCGUGCCUAAUACAUGCAAGUCGAGCGAACGGACGAGAAGCUUGCUUCUCUGAUGUUAGCGGCGGACGGGUGAGUAACACGUGGAUAACCUACCUAUAAGACUGGGAUAACUUCGGGAAACCGGAGCUAAUACCGGAUAAUAUUUUGAACCGCAUGGUUCAAAAGUGAAAGACGGUCUUGCUGUCACUUAUAGAUGGAUCCGCGCUGCAUUAGCUAGUUGGUAAGGUAACGGCUUACCAAGGCAACGAUGCAUAGCCGACCUGAGAGGGUGAUCGGCCACACUGGAACUGAGACACGGUCCAGACUCCUACGGGAGGCAGCAGUAGGGAAUCUUCCGCAAUGGGCGAAAGCCUGACGGAGCAACGCCGCGUGAGUGAUGAAGGUCUUCGGAUCGUAAAACUCUGUUAUUAGGGAAGAACAUAUGUGUAAGUAACUGUGCACAUCUUGACGGUACCUAAUCAGAAAGCCACGGCUAACUACGUGCCAGCAGCCGCGGUAAUACGUAGGUGGCAAGCGUUAUCCGGAAUUAUUGGGCGUAAAGCGCGCGUAGGCGGUUUUUUAAGUCUGAUGUGAAAGCCCACGGCUCAACCGUGGAGGGUCAUUGGAAACUGGAAAACUUGAGUGCAGAAGAGGAAAGUGGAAUUCCAUGUGUAGCGGUGAAAUGCGCAGAGAUAUGGAGGAACACCAGUGGCGAAGGCGACUUUCUGGUCUGUAACUGACGCUGAUGUGCGAAAGCGUGGGGAUCAAACAGGAUUAGAUACCCUGGUAGUCCACGCCGUAAACGAUGAGUGCUAAGUGUUAGGGGGUUUCCGCCCCUUAGUGCCGCAGCUAACGCAUUAAGCACUCCGCCUGGGGAGUACGACCGCAAGGUUGAAACUCAAAGGAAUUGACGGGGACCCGCACAAGCGGUGGAGCAUGUGGUUUAAUUCGAAGCAACGCGAAGAACCUUACCAAAUCUUGACAUCCUUUGACAACUCUAGAGAUAGAGCUUUCCCCUUCGGGGGACAAAGUGACAGGUGGUGCAUGGUUGUCGUCAGCUCGUGUCGUGAGAUGUUGGGUUAAGUCCCGCAACGAGCGCAACCCUUAAGCUUAGUUGCCAUCAUUAAGUUGGGCACUCUAAGUUGACUGCCGGUGACAAACCGGAGGAAGGUGGGGAUGACGUCAAAUCAUCAUGCCCCUUAUGAUUUGGGCUACACACGUGCUACAAUGGACAAUACAAAGGGCAGCGAAACCGCGAGGUCAAGCAAAUCCCAUAAAGUUGUUCUCAGUUCGGAUUGUAGUCUGCAACUCGACUACAUGAAGCUGGAAUCGCUAGUAAUCGUAGAUCAGCAUGCUACGGUGAAUACGUUCCCGGGUCU